UAUCCUUGGCAGGAUAGCUCAGUUGGCUAAUGCGUUUUUUACUUCGAGUCCUGCUGCGGGCUACUAUUGUUUUCCUUUUUUAAAUUUUAUUUUUGAUUUUUUACUGGAGCUUUUAAAAUUUAAUGUUUACAUUUAUCAAUAUAAAGCAUUUAAUGACAAACUUCAAAACAUGCCAAAAUCUGUGAAAAGGCCCCUUUAAUGUGACGCCAUUCUGUAAUCUUUAUGCACGGUUCGCACAUCAUAGGUGUCAAAGUGGUCAUUAUCGAUUGAUACUACCAUUGUUGUUAUAGCAAUUAUUGAUUUAAUGCGGUUUUUAACCAGGUUUUCCGAAGGAAAAAACUGGUUAUUAGAUUGGCGAAUGCGGGCGGGCUGGCUGGCUGGCGGGCUGGCGGGCUGGCUGGCUGGCGGGCUGGCGGGCUGGCGGAAUAAGCUUGUCCGGGCCAUAACUAUGUCGUUCAUUGUCAGAUUUUAAAAUCAUUUGGCACAUUUGUUCACCAUCAUUGGACGGUGUGUCGCGCGAAAUAAUUACGUCGAUAUCUCCAAGGUCAAGGUCACACUUUGAGUUCAAAGGUCAAAAAUGGCCAUAAAUGAGCUUGUCCUGGCCAUAACUAUGUCAUUCAUUGUGAGAUUUUAAAAUCAUUUGGCACAUUUGUUCACCAUCAUGGGACGGUGUGUCCCACGAAAGAAUCACGUCAAUAUCUCCAAUGUCAAGGUCGCCACGACUAAAAAUAGAUUUAAAAAAAAAAAAACUUACAAAGGGGGUUAAUUUUUUUUGGUCAUUUCAAAAGUUCAGUUUGAGUUUUCUCCCUUUAUCAGAUUUUUUUUUCACAAUGAAAACCUAGUUUUGUGACAAUUUUGUCCCU
Dreissena polymorpha is the source of this 863-nucleotide long non-coding RNA. RefSeq lists it as uncharacterized. The record is from RefSeq and is a predicted model, not a curated record. NCBI's taxonomy places the organism in Eukaryota, Metazoa, Mollusca, Bivalvia, Myida, Dreissenidae. The transcript has 3 exons.